CGAUACUUCGAGAAUCGCAACAUCGAAUGAGAAUCUCGAAUUUUGAACGGUCUCGCGUAUGUAACGUGUUUACGUCGUUGGAAGUCGGUUUGGGUUGCGGAUUGAAGCAUUAGCAUUUAGUGAGGAGAAAGAGAGCCAAUCUUAAGAAGAGAGAGAGAGAGAGAGAGAGGAAAAAAUUGUCCAUUAAAAUACGGAAGUGACAUGUCGCAGAGACAUGUCGCAAUCGACCGCGAUCGAUCGCAGGGAGUGCCGGAAAACUCCCAUCGGCCAAUCUACGAAUACCAUUCUCGCUCAAUUCAGCUCGAUUGAAGCUUUGGAUGCGAUAUAAAGCGCAAGACGUGUUUGAAGUUCAUCGGAUAAUCCCACGUGAAAGGUUUACAUCUGAGAAAACGAUUACUGUAUACUUGUGAAGGACAAAAGCAAAGGAACAAAGU
Long non-coding RNA from Pseudomyrmex gracilis, 434 nucleotides. RefSeq lists it as uncharacterized. Lineage: Eukaryota; Metazoa; Arthropoda; Insecta; Hymenoptera; Formicidae. The transcript has 3 exons. The record is from RefSeq and is a predicted model, not a curated record.